RNAcentral lists this long non-coding RNA (581 nucleotides) under Trifolium pratense (red clover). RNAcentral describes it as "long non-coding RNA (TPRA_LNC003922)". The record is from RNAcentral. Lineage: Eukaryota; Viridiplantae; Streptophyta; Magnoliopsida; Fabales; Fabaceae.
CCAUAUGUAGGGUUUAGAGGGAAAUUGAAACUGGACAGUUCAAAAAUUCAAGCGAUCAAUUAGCUAUAUGAAUCCCCAAUUGCAUGAAAUGAAAAGCAAAAAACAGAUAAGGAUUCAUUCAUAAAUAAAUCUAGGAUUUUUUAAGAGCAAAUUAGGAGACAUUUGAAAACGUACAUGAGAAGAGAACACACCAACUGAUGAAGAAGUGGCGGCAACAGGUUAGAUUCCAGCGGCAGGCUUGGGCUGUGCUGCUGGAGAGAGGGAGAGAAUACUCGGGCGGCGGUUGUGGUGGAGUCAAACUAGUGUUGGUCACACGCGCGGUUGCGAUCUAGGGGAGUAAGGAGCAGAGAGAGAGGGGGAGGUGCGAUCUGGUUCUGAGUGGAGGCAGGAGAUGACUGUAUGGACAGUGGCGGAGAUGAGAGGACGGCGACGGUGGGGCGUAGCGAUGGAGAUGAGAGAGCGGCGUGAUUUGAGAAUGUGUGAUGAAAAUGAGUUUGAGACAGUUUUGUUGAAAGAGGAGUGAUCGAGGUAGAGGUAGACCAAACCGAACCGAACCGAACCGACCGAACCCUUCUGGGUGC